ACUCCUACGGGAGGCAGCAGUGGGGAAUAUUGCACAAUGGGCGCAAGCCUGAUGCAGCCAUGCCGCGUGUAUGAAGAAGGCCUUCGGGUUGUAAAGUACUUUCAGCAGUGAGGAAGGUGGGUAUGUUAAUAGCAUAUUCUAUUUGUACGUUAGCUGCAGAAGAAGCACCGGCUAACUCCGUGCCAGCAGCCGCGGUAAUACGGAGGGUGCGAGCGUUAAUCGGAAUUACUGGGCGUAAAGCGCAUGCAGGUGGUUUGUUAAGUCAGAUGUGAAAGCCCGGGGCUCAACCUCGGAAUUGCAUUUGAAACUGGCAAACUAGAGUACUGGUAGAGGGGGUAGAAUUUCAGGUGUAGCGGUGAAAUGCGUAGAGAUCUGAAGGAAUACCGGUGGCGAAGGCGGCCCCUGGACAGAUACUGACACUCAGAUGCGAAAGCGUGGGAGCAAACAGGAUUAGAU
Molecule: ribosomal RNA, 456 nt
Filed under: uncultured bacterium
Lineage: Bacteria
Description: bacterial SSU rRNA
Rfam family: Bacterial small subunit ribosomal RNA
Source: RNAcentral